GGGUAUUUAGCUCAGUGGUAUAAGCAGCUGCUUGGCAAGCAUGAGGUCGUGAGUUCGAUUCCCAGUACCCC
This 71-nucleotide transfer RNA is filed under the name Cavia porcellus (domestic guinea pig). It matches the Rfam family "tRNA". From Rfam's summary of the family: Transfer RNA (tRNA) molecules are approximately 80 nucleotides in length. Their secondary structure includes four short double-helical elements and three loops (D, anti-codon, and T loops). The record is from Rfam by way of RNAcentral. Lineage: Eukaryota; Metazoa; Chordata; Mammalia; Rodentia; Caviidae.